Molecule: long non-coding RNA, 997 nt
Organism: Hypomesus transpacificus
Lineage: Eukaryota; Metazoa; Chordata; Actinopteri; Osmeriformes; Osmeridae
Exons: 3
Source: RefSeq, a predicted model, not a curated record
UACGGGCUGAAAGGAAAAAGGGGCUCUUAAAAGACGGUCAUCUUGGAAGCAAAAGCCAGACAAAAAGAGCAAAGAAGAACCAGCAAAGCCAAGCAACAUCUAGGCCUACAACAACCAGGCCACCAAACACUUUUAUCGUUGCCAUGGAGGUGCUCGGCCUGACUUUUGCGCCAACAAAUGUCCCACAACCUACCUUGACUUCAGCUUCUAUAGCCUCACCAUUAAUAGCCCCACUAACCAGCUCCGUCAUCACUCCGCCGCUUACAGGAAUGGCAAGCACCACCAGCCUCUCCUUUGCUCCACCAGCUGCAUCACUCCACUAGCCUCACCAUCACUCCUACACAAACACCUCUCCAACUCUCCACCAGACCCACUUACCAGUCGUGUCAAGGCAACAUCAACCUGGUCAUCUCUCCACCAGCCUGACAAUACCUUGAUGCUGUUUCGAUAAUAAUCAUUAAAGUUAUCGUCUCCAUGCAGUUAUACUUUAUUUUUACUCUCAUCAUCCACACUAGUGCUGAUGAUCUUAUCACAAGGUAAUUUAUCAUUUUGAUUAAUGCAGUAGUAGAUGCAUCUAGUUGAGCUAACUAGCUAGUGAGUGGACUUGAAAUUCCUGCCGAGCGUUGAGAGCUAACUGGACGAUAGGGGACCCCUUAAUCUGCAAUUCAUUGUUGCUAUCUCUAAUCAGAUGUACUAACGAGGCUAAUAAGAGAAGACUUACUUUGUACGCCAACGAACACCAAUAACUAGAACUAAUUUGACAGACUAUAAACCAACGGACUUCUGGUUAUGAUACACGUGCUCUCUAGCUAUAGCUACAAUAAAAGUGUUGCUUAGCUCUACAUUAGAUACUAGCCCUAGUCUAGCUCUAACUGCAAUUAGAAUCUAACAAGUCAUAAUCUUACGAUAAAUUGUAUCCAAAGCUGGCUAUAUGAAAUACUACUAAUAACAAUUGAUAUGUGUUGGUUGAAAUAUAUAAAAAAUGCAGGAUUUUCAU